GAUUAAAAAUAAAUAUGGAUCAAUUAGAAAAAUUGAUUAUACUAAUCAAAUGUUGAAUUAGAUUAGAUCAAAAUUUUUUUAGAUCCACCUCAAUAGUUGUAGCUUGAUCAAGUCUAUAUUUUUGACCAUACCAGUUGGACCAUGAUCAUGGCUCAAAAUUUUAGCUCGAGUUCUUUGGCUGACUGAAUUGAAACUAAUCCACCAAUUAGUAUCUAAGGUAAGUUUGGCAAUAUUGUAUGGCAAUU
Molecule: long non-coding RNA, 245 nt
Filed under: Elaeis guineensis (African oil palm)
Lineage: Eukaryota; Viridiplantae; Streptophyta; Magnoliopsida; Arecales; Arecaceae
Description: long non-coding RNA (EGUI_LNC042095)
Source: RNAcentral